Molecule: ribosomal RNA, 206 nt
Filed under: uncultured bacterium
Lineage: Bacteria
Description: partial 16S ribosomal RNA
Rfam family: Bacterial small subunit ribosomal RNA
Source: RNAcentral
CUCAGUUCGGACUGGAGUCUGCAACCCGACUCCACGAAGCUGGAUUCGCUAGUAAUCGCGCAUCAGCCACGGCGCGGUGAAUACGUUCCCGGGCCUUGUACACACCGCCCGUCAAGCCAUGGGAGCCGGGGGUACCUGAAGUGCGUAACCGCGAGGAUCGCCCUAGGGUAAAACUGGUGACUGGGGCUAAGUCGUAACAAGGUAGC